UUGAACGCUGGCGGAAUGCUUUACACAUGCAAGUCGAGCGGCAGCGCGGGAGCAACCCUGGCGACGAGCGGCGAACUGGUGAGUAAUACAUCGGAACGUACCCAGUUGUGGGGGAUAGCCCGGCGAAAGCCGGAUUAAUACCGCAUAAGUCCUGAGGGAGAAAGCGGGGGACCGCAAGGCCUCUCGCGAUUGGAGCGGCCGAUGUCAGAUUAGCUAGUUGGUGGGGUAAAGGCCUACCAAGGCGACGAUCUGUAGCUGGUCUGAGAGGACGACCAGCCACACUGGGACUGAGACACGGCCCAGACUCCUACGGGAGGCAGCAAGGGGGAAUUUUGGACAAUGGGGGCAACCCUGAUCCAGCCAUUCCGCGUGAAUGAAGAAGGCCUUCGGGUUGUAAAGCUCUUUCGGCAGGAACGAAACGGUGUGGGCCAAUACCCUGCAUCAAUGACGGUACCUGAAGAAGAAGCACCGGCUAACUACGU
This 482-nucleotide ribosomal RNA is filed under the name uncultured bacterium. RNAcentral's name for it is "bacterial SSU rRNA". It matches the Rfam family "Bacterial small subunit ribosomal RNA", at positions 29 to 506 of the family's 1533-position model. The record is from RNAcentral.